UACGGGGGGGGCAAGCGUUGUUCGGAAUUACUGGGCGUAAAGGGCUCGUAGGCGGCCAACUAAGUCGGACGUGAAAUCCCUCGGCUUAACCGGGGAACUGCGUCCGAUACUGGAUGGCUAGAGUUCGGGAGAGGGAUGCGGAAUUCCAGGUGUAGCGGUGAAAUGCGUAGAUAUCGUUUGGAACGCCAAUGGUGAAAACAGGUCGCUGGGGAUGAGCUGACGCUGAGACACGAAAGCCAGGGGAGCAAACGGG
RNAcentral lists this ribosomal RNA (253 nucleotides) under uncultured bacterium. Its description in RNAcentral is "partial 16S ribosomal RNA". It matches the Rfam family "Bacterial small subunit ribosomal RNA", at positions 524 to 776 of the family's 1533-position model. The record is from RNAcentral.